AUUGAACGCUGGCGGCAGGCCUAACACAUGCAAGUCGAGCGGAUGAAGGGAGCUUGCUCCUGGAUUCAGCGGCGGACGGGUGAGUAAUGCCUAGGAAUCUGCCUGGUAGUGGGGGAUAACGUCCGGAAACGGGCGCUAAUACCGCAUACGUCCUGAGGGAGAAAGUGGGGGAUCUUCGGACCUCACGCUAUCAGAUGAGCCUAGGUCGGAUUAGCUAGUUGGUGGGGUAAAGGCCUACCAAGGCGACGAUCCGUAACUGGUCUGAGAGGAUGAUCAGUCACACUGGAACGGAGACACGGUCCAGACUCCUACGGGAGGCAGCAGUGGGGAAUAUUAGACAAUGGGCGAAAGCCUGAUCCAGCCAUGCCGCGUGUGUGAAGAAGGUCUUCGGAUUGUAAAGCACUUUAAGUUGGGAGGAAGGGCAGUAAGUUAAUACCUUGCUGUUUUGACGGUACCAACAGAAUAAGCACCGGCUAACUUCGUG
This 484-nucleotide ribosomal RNA is filed under the name uncultured bacterium. RNAcentral describes it as "partial 16S ribosomal RNA". It matches the Rfam family "Bacterial small subunit ribosomal RNA", at positions 30 to 507 of the family's 1533-position model. The record is from RNAcentral.